Molecule: ribosomal RNA, 938 nt
Filed under: Rhigonema thysanophora
Lineage: Eukaryota; Metazoa; Nematoda; Chromadorea; Rhabditida; Rhigonematidae
Description: 16S ribosomal RNA
Source: RNAcentral
UAGGAAGGGUGUUUUUUAUUUUUUAGUAUUGCCUACUAUUGAGGGACAUUUUUAUUAUUAUAAAUAGUGGAAAGAGGAAGUGAAUUGAGGAUUUUAUUUUGUUGCACAACAUAAGAAAACUUUAAUAAGUGUUGAUAUGACGUUGUCUCGGAUACCCGCGUAGUUUGUUGUGUUGUUAUGCUAUAUAUAUAUAUGAUUUUCAAGAAGUUUAGGAUUUGAAGUUUCUUAUUUGUGGGUUUUAUAACUUUUUUUUUGUUAUUGUUUAUACAAAGUUUUAGUAAAGUUAUUUCUUUAUUUUAAAUUUCCUGGGAUUUAGUAUAUUUUUUUUUGUGAAGUGAUUUUUUGUAAAUUAAGCCGAGUAUUAUUUAAUGUGUCAACUGUUUGUUAUAAACAAAGAUAAAAAAUUUUUAUUUUCUCCUGCCCUAUGAAAUUUUUAAAUGGCAGUCUUAGCGUGAGGACAUAAAAGUAGCAAGGUCAAUUGUAUUUUUAUUGAAUUCGAGUAUGAACGGGGGUUUGACUCGUGAAGUUCUACUUUUUGUUGGAACUAAGUUUUUGUUUGAGAAUGAACAAAUUUGACUCUACCAAGAUAAGUCUUCGGGAAUUUUGUUAUUUUUUUUUGAUGUGGAAAAAAUUAUUUAUCUGGGGCAGAUCUGUUUGUGUAUUCUCUCUUUCUAUAGUUAAUUUAAUAAAUUACCCCGGAGUUAACAGGAAAAUUUAUAUUUUUUAGUUGUUAUACAGUUUGAAUUUUACAUCGAUGUUGUAUUUUAAAUGUGGCGGGGGCAGAAGAUUGUAGUUUUGAGACUGUUCUUCUUUUAAAUUGAACUUGAUAUUAGUUUAAUUCAUUGUGAGAUAGAGUGGUUUAUCUGGGGGGUUCCAGAGUUAGGACGGGCUAGUACGAAAGGAAUGUUUUUAAAAUCUUAGAUUUUUGAGUUUUUUAU